Molecule: ribosomal RNA, 253 nt
Filed under: uncultured bacterium
Lineage: Bacteria
Description: partial 16S ribosomal RNA
Rfam family: Bacterial small subunit ribosomal RNA
Source: RNAcentral
UACAGAGGUCUCAAGCGUUGUUCGGAUUCAUUGGGCGUAAAGGGUGCGCAGGCGGUGUGGUAAGUUGAGUGUGAAAUCCCGAGGCUUAACCUUGGAACUGCACUCAAUACUGCCAUGCUAGAGGAAUGUAGAGGAGAGUGGAAUUCACGGUGUAGCAGUGAAAUGCGUAGAUAUCGUGAGGAAGACCAGUUGCGAAGGCGACUCUCUGGGCAUUUCCUGACGCUCAGGCACGAAGGCCAGGGGAGCAAACGGG